GACGAACGCUGGCGGCGUGCCUAAUACAUGCAAGUCGAGCGAAGUUUUUCUGGUGCUUGCACUAUAAAAACUUAGCGGCGAACGGGUGAGUAACACGUAAAGAACCUGCCUCAUAGACUGGGACCACUAUUGGAAACGAUAGCUAAUACCGGAUAACAGUAUUUCUCGCAUGAGAGAUAUUUAAAAGUUGGUUAUGCUAACACUAUGAGAUGGCCUUGCGGUGCAUUAGCUAGUUGGUGGGGUAAAGGCCCACCAAGGCGACGAUGCAUAGCCGACCUGAGAGGGUGAUCGGCCACACUGGGACUGAGACACGGCCCAGACUCCUACGGGAGGCAGCAGUAGGGAAUCUUCCGCAAUGGGCGAAAGCCUGACGGAGCAACGCCGCGUGAGUGAAGAAGGAUUUCGGUUCGUAAAGCUCUGUUGUUAGGGAAGAAUGGAUAUGUAGUAACUAUACAUGUAAGAGACGGUACCUAAACAGAAAGCCACGGCUAACUACGUG
RNAcentral lists this ribosomal RNA (499 nucleotides) under uncultured bacterium. RNAcentral's name for it is "partial 16S ribosomal RNA". It matches the Rfam family "Bacterial small subunit ribosomal RNA", at positions 28 to 507 of the family's 1533-position model. The record is from RNAcentral.